GUAACUGUGUCUUCAGACUUCCACUUACUGCUCUCCGUAUUAACUCAAUAUGCAGGCUGGAAGUAGGAGUGUGAAAGUAUGGUCAU
Gallus gallus (chicken) is the source of this 86-nucleotide microRNA precursor. NCBI's taxonomy places the organism in Eukaryota, Metazoa, Chordata, Aves, Galliformes, Phasianidae. The record is from Ensembl.